AUCAAACAGCAUUCGGAGAGGCAAUCGGAUAUGCCCGUGCUUUGGGAGUUGUGAUGGGGGUUGGUGUGCAAACAGAUUUUGACAACACCAGCUCUUGCUAAGUUUGGAAGUGACUACCUAAAGAGAGAGUUCUUGGUUCCAAGUAUUGCUGGAGAUGUAGUUUAGUUGCUUGGGGUCAGUGAGCCAAAUGCAGGGUCAGAUGUGGCUGGGCUGAUGACCACUGCUCGUCGUCAAGGAGAUGACCUGAUCAUCAAUGGUCAGAAGCUGUGGAUUACAAAUGCCUGGUCUGCUGACUGGAUGUGUCUACUGUGUAACACAAAUCAGGGACCUCCCCACAAGAAUAAAUCCCUUGUAAUUGUCCCCAUGAAGUCACCAGGUGUUCAUCUAACAAAACUCAUUGAUAAACUGGGUAUGCGGAGCUCUGAUACGGGCCAAAUUUUCUUUGAUGAAGUUCGUGUUCCUGCAAAAAUAUCAUUGGAGAGG
Long non-coding RNA from Macrobrachium nipponense, 483 nucleotides. RefSeq lists it as uncharacterized. The record is from RefSeq and is a predicted model, not a curated record. Lineage: Eukaryota; Metazoa; Arthropoda; Malacostraca; Decapoda; Palaemonidae. The transcript is spliced from 3 exons.